CCUGAGGACACGGAGACAGUCACGGCAAGCCAAAUGCGCUGGACACAUUCGUACCUUUCUGAUGAUGAGGACAUGCUGGCUGACAGCAUCUCGGGAGACGACCUGGGCAGUGGGGACCUGGGCAGCGGGGACUUCCAGAUGGUUUAUUUCCGAGCCCUGGUGAAUUUCACUCGCUCCAUUGAGUACAGCCCUCAGCUGGAGGACGCAGGCUCCAGAGAAUUCCGAGAGGUGUCUGAGGCUGUGGUAGACACGCUGGAGUCGGAGUACUUGAAAAUUCCCGGAGACCAGGUUGUCAGUGUGGUGUUCAUCAAGGAGCUGGAUGGCUGGGUUUUUGUGGAGCUGGAUGUGGGCUCAGAAGGGAAUGCGGAUGGGGCUCAGAUUCAGGAGGUGCUGCUCAGGGUCAUCUCCAGCAGUUCCAUGGCCUCCUACAUCACCUCUCCCCAGGGAUUCCAGUUCCGACGCCUGGGCACAGGUGAGCCUGUCCUGGUGUCUGGGGUUGCCUCCUCCAGACUUGUGGGGUCCCCUUUCAGUGUCUCUGUCAUGGGCUCCCAACUUGGGCUUGCACACUAGAAACAGGGAGCUCACUACCUCCUGAGUCUGCCCCAUCGAUCUUUACACAAUCUUGGCUUGGUAGA
This 635-nucleotide small RNA is filed under the name Pongo abelii (Sumatran orangutan). Its description in RNAcentral is "retained intron". Lineage: Eukaryota; Metazoa; Chordata; Mammalia; Primates; Hominidae. The record is from RNAcentral.